This is a long non-coding RNA of Solea senegalensis (Senegalese sole), 1169 nucleotides long. RefSeq lists it as uncharacterized. The record is from RefSeq and is a predicted model, not a curated record. NCBI's taxonomy places the organism in Eukaryota, Metazoa, Chordata, Actinopteri, Pleuronectiformes, Soleidae. The transcript is spliced from 3 exons.
UCAUGAAGUCACAUGAGUGGGAGAUCUGUUUACAAGAUCUCGCUGCCAAAAAUUCACACUCGAAUUCGAGCGAAUGAAAUUCUCCAUUCUUGUUUUUGACGGAGCAAAGAAUAUAGAGUUUAACUAAAUCUACCGACCCGAAUGCAAUACUUCCUGAGCAGCAGGAAGUCUUCCACUUUGAGAGGCCCCAGCUCACAGCAGCGGCUGCGUGCCAGGAUGUGGUGCAGAGGCUGGCUGGAGGUUGGAGCCUCGGUGCUAGGGAGCUGAUGACUGUCAGAUAUGUUCAUCAGCGUCAGCCGCUGUUUUCACGGCUUCUCGGCCACUAUUGCACGCUGAUGGCAAUUACCGGUAGAGACUCGUUGACCCCCGAGUGAUGCAUUUCACGACGAUGCGAGACAGUGACAUACAAACAGUGCGGCUGAGUGAGGACACCGGUGCUGACCUUACGCUUUCUGUCCUACAGCCAUUUGUCAGUGUGAAAGGUAUGUAACCUCAUAGUCUAGCCACUGAGACACUCAGUGGACGUCCAAGUCAGCUGGUCGUCUGAUUUAUGAAGCUUGUCCUCAAACAACUGUAUGUCCGCAUGACUUAACCACAUUAUAUAUAAUAUAUAUAAUGUAAUAUAUAUAUAAUAACCACAUUUUUGCAUACAAUAUAGCCACACAUUAAGCACAACGGUGGGCUGAAAGCAAAAGUAAAUCUGAUAAAUGAAUCCAAAUCUGGACUGAAAGGAAAGAACCUUAGUGUUUUCACCCUCAAAGGACAACAAUUGCAAAUGAAUGUAUAUUCUGGGUAAACAUUUGAGUGUUUUCCAGUUGUGUAUUGACUCUUCUGUUGAGAAAUAAAAAGACUGACCUUCUGUUAAUAUGCUAACAACGCUGAGUAAGCUGAACAUAUCAAGAUGACCGUGACCGACAGACAAAUGUCCAUGUACAGGUACAUGUGAUGAUUAUGAUUAGUGCCCCACCCAGGCCAUUACUGUGAUUAUUUAAUGGCGCCAGCUUAUCAGAGGUCCAUGUUUCUCCCACAUUACUGACACGGUACACCUGACAAAAAUAAAACGUGAGAAUAUGAAGGACAAAUACAGUUCUGUAUGAGGACGUGUUCAGAGGAAUUGUGGGCGAUGUUUAUUUGCUUUAAAGAAUGAAACUUGGAUGAUUACAACUAGA